CCUACGGGAGGCUGCAGUGGGGAAUAUUGCACAAUGGGGGAAACCCUGAUGCAGCGACGCCGCGUGCGGGAAGAAGUAAUUCGUUAUGUAAAGCUCUAUCAGCAGGGAAGAAACUGACGGUACCCGAGUAAGAAUCCCCGGCUAACUACGUGCCAGCAGCCGCGGUAAUACGUAGGGGGCAAGCGUUAUCCGGAUUUACUGGGGGUAAAGGGAGCGUAGACGGCAUGGCAAGUCUGGAGUGAAAGGCGGGGGCUCAACCCCCGGACUGCUCUGGAAACUGUACGGCUGGAGUGCAGGAGAGGUAAGUGGAAGUCAUAGUGUAGCGGUGAAAUGCGUAGAUAUUAGGAGGAACACCAGUGGCGAAGGCGGCUUACUAGACUGUAACUGACGUUGAGGCUCGAAAGCGUGGGGAGCAAACAGGAUUAGAUACCCGAGUAGUC
RNAcentral lists this ribosomal RNA (440 nucleotides) under uncultured bacterium. RNAcentral's name for it is "partial 16S ribosomal RNA". It matches the Rfam family "Bacterial small subunit ribosomal RNA", at positions 338 to 795 of the family's 1533-position model. The record is from RNAcentral.